AUUGCUUCUCGGCCUGUUGGCUAAGAUCAAGUGUAGUAUCGCAAUUAUUUUUCAUUAAAAACGUAAAUAACAAUAAACACAAUCCUAAAUAGAGCUAUACCCUUUUAAGCCAAUUGAAGACAAUGUGCUUAGAAGGGGAUAGCUCUACUUAGGACUGUACUGCAUACGUACUAAAGACAUAGUGACAUAGU
Sphaerodactylus townsendi is the source of this 191-nucleotide small nuclear RNA. RefSeq annotates it as U2 spliceosomal RNA. The transcript has a single exon. The record is from RefSeq and is a predicted model, not a curated record. Lineage: Eukaryota; Metazoa; Chordata; Lepidosauria; Squamata; Sphaerodactylidae.